Molecule: transfer RNA, 85 nt
Filed under: Candidatus Staskawiczbacteria bacterium RIFCSPHIGHO2_02_FULL_33_16
Lineage: Bacteria; Candidatus Staskawicziibacteriota
Also listed under: 1 other name
Description: tRNA-Ser
Rfam family: tRNA
About the family: Transfer RNA (tRNA) molecules are approximately 80 nucleotides in length. Their secondary structure includes four short double-helical elements and three loops (D, anti-codon, and T loops).
Source: RNAcentral
GGAGGAGUCGCAUAGUGGCUAUUGCAACAGUCUUGAAAACUGUAACCCUUUACAGGGUUCGUGGGUUCGAGUCCCACCUCCUCCG